GAAACCUCCAUCAGAACUAGAACCAGGAUGAACCACAACCAUCUUUUUCGACGGUCAUCUAUGCAUAGACGUAUGUCAAUGAAUCAAUGUAUGUAGAUUUUCCAAGUGACCUUCAACGUCUGUUCUGCGUCAGCGUCCGCGAGCGACGCACAUUCUUCUUCUUGAAUGUCUGCUCAGACUGAGAGAAACCUGAUUGCUGCUUUGGCUGACUACCUGACCUCUGAUCCCUGCUCUGACUGACGCAGAGAGAACCGGACCAGAACUCCUGCUUGGCUGGUGAUCAGAUUUCUAGUCACUGAGUUUCAGUCCAUCACAUCACUGAGUAUAGUAGUGUUUCACAUUUUAAUCACAGAGUUUUUGUGGUUUAUCACAACUGCUGAGUUCACACAUGAAUAUAAAUGUAGUGAAAACAGACCUGUAAACAUUGACUGAAGUCAUGUUAUAGCCAUGUGAGCUGAGCUGUUCUGCCUGUAAAGUGGAUCAGAACAGGUCCCAGCAGCAGAGUCUGACAGUAGAAAGCUGACAGUUGAAAGCUGACAGUUUUAAUGGAACAUCACUGAAGGCAGAAAUCAGUGUGUAAUGUGAGCAGAACAUGUUGUGCAGUGAUCAGUUCUGUACUGUUCUGCUUCAUGUUGAACAAGUCAGUGGGUCUUGAGAUUAUGUUAAUCAAGUCCACAUUUCAUAGUACCAGCUGUUUUCACACAGAUCUGGAAACUACUGGCCUAAAAAGUGAUUUAUUUAACUUUCUCAAUAUUCUGUUUAUUUGAAGCCAUUAAAUGUUGAACUGUUUACACAUCUUAUGUAACAUAAUGCUAGAUUAGAUUACUGAAAUGAACAAUGUCUAAUUAUUGUUUUCUCUGUGUCUUCCUGUUCAACGUGUCUCCUCUCAUUGUCCCUAUCAUUAUUGGACAUUCUGUCUUUCCUGUCCCACCUACCCCCUCUAUCUAAUCCCUCUAUCUAAUUUUUGGAAAUUCUAUCUUGUAUCCAUCUAUCCCCCUCUAUCUAAUAUUUGGACAUUCUAUCUUGUAUCCAUCUAUCCCCCUCUAUCUAAUAUUUGGACAUUCUAUCUUGUAUCCAUCUAUCCCCCUCUAUCUAAUAUUUGGACAUUCUAUCUUGUAUCCAUCUACCCCCCUCCAUCUAAUAUUUGGACAUUCUAUCUUGCAUCCAUCUGUCCCCCCUCUAUCUAAUAUUUGGACAUUCUAUCUUGUAUCCUUCUGUCCCCCCUCUAUCUAAUAUUUGGAUUUGCUUUGGCUUACCAGAAUUUCUUUGGCUUACCAGAAUUGCUUUGGCUCACCAUAUUUGAUUUGGCUCAUCAGAAUUGCUUUGGCUCACCACAAUUGCUUUGGCUCACCAUAUUUGCUUUGGCUCAUCAGAAUUGCUUUGGCUCACCAGAUUUGCUUUGGCUCACCACAAUUGCUUUGGCUCACCACAAUUGCUUUGGCUCACUGUUCUCAGAACCAGAUUUGCUUUGGCUCAACGUUCUCGGAACCAGAUUUGUUUUGGAAAACCAAGGUUGAUUGGAACCUUUCCUUGCUGUUUCAGAAAUCUGAGAUCUCACCCAAUUAAUGUAGUUUAUUCUUACUGAGUAAAACUCUAACUACCAUAUUUAUUUAUUUUUGUCUGCUGGUAAAAGUUCAAGACAAAUUGUACUUCGUCUUGAGUUUGUAUAUUUCCUUGAUAAUAAUUUUCUCUGUGGUGUGACCGAGUACUUAAAACAUAUUACUUAUCUUCUGGAUAUUUACUGUUUUGUCCUAUAAAACCUGUUAUUGAGUUGU
Molecule: long non-coding RNA, 1775 nt
Organism: Hypomesus transpacificus
Lineage: Eukaryota; Metazoa; Chordata; Actinopteri; Osmeriformes; Osmeridae
Exons: 4
Source: RefSeq, a predicted model, not a curated record